Non-coding RNA from Chrysemys picta bellii (western painted turtle), 4326 nucleotides. The record is from RefSeq and is a predicted model, not a curated record. Lineage: Eukaryota; Metazoa; Chordata; Testudines; Emydidae.
UUGUGCCUGGGUGUCCCCAGUUUAUGCCCUAGCCUAAGGACAAUGAUAAGGGAUACAGGCCUCUCCACCAAUGGGGCUGACACCCCGGAGGUCACUGCUUUAGCUGAAGUUCUCAGGGCUAUUGGCAUUAAAUGGUCCAGGUUCAAUCCCCGGAGAAGACCUGGGCUCUGUCUGUGGCCACUGUGAGCACAUGAGACACGCCCACUCUCUGGUCUCUGUCUCCUCCCUUUCCACAUAUCCCAAUGCUGGUGCCCCUUGUUACUGGAAUAACCCAGAGUGGAGGGUGGCACAGCACCCCAGCGUGUCCCAGGGAGGGCACCAGAACCUGUCUCCAUUCAGGGCCCCAAAGGCUCCCCACAUCCCAUCUCUCUGGGCCCAUGGAGAGCACAGGGCUGUGGGCAGGUGACAUCUCAGAUGAUAAAGCUCAGAUGCAGGUUUCCCAGAGUUUGGGGGCUUCUGGGAUUGGGGAUCAGACCCAUGUCUCACCCUUCCUGCUUUCCUCAGCAGGGAGGACGGGCCGUUUCAGAAGCCAGAGCUGGGGUUUGCGGAGCUGGAGAAGAGACUCAGCGAUUUCUCUCUGAAAAGUGCUAUCCUGCAGGAGGUGCUGCUGGGAUUCAAAGAGACUCUGCGACUGGAGCUGGAGAACAACACAGCAGGUGAUGGGGCAGUGAGUGAGAACGAGGAGGAGAAUCCGCAGCAGGGAGAUACUCUGCAUGUGGAACCACCCGGGAUGUUAUCAGAAAGAUCUGAAAAGAAUAUUCACUGGAGUCGUGAGCAGAGAAAAGGUCAUGAGAGUCCGUUCUGGCCAGAGAAGCAGCAGGGAAAUCAGCCAGGGGAUGGUCGGGGAAGUGGCCAGGACCUCCAGGAAACCACAGCCCAGCAGAGAAUCCCCCCAGGAGUGAGAAAAAACACCUGCACGGAGUGUGGGAAAACCUUCAGUAGCUGCUCAGCUCUUAUUACACAUCAGAGUAUCCACAUGGGCAAGACACCCUAUAGAUGCUGCGAGUGCGGGAAAAGCUUCAAUCGGAACUCGCACCUUAGUAGACAUCGGAGACUCCACACAGGACAGAGACCCUUUAAAUGCUCCGAGUGCGGGAAAAGUUUCAGUGUGAGCUCAAACCUUAUUGCACAUCAGACAAUCCACACAGGAACCAGACCCUUUACCUGUUCUGAGUGCGGGAAAAGCUUCAAUCGGAACUCAAACCUUAUUACACAUUUUAGAAUCCACACGGGCAGUAGACCUUUCACAUGUGCUGACUGUGGGAAAAGCUUCACUGACAGCUCAAACCUUACUCAGCAUCAGAGAACGCAUGUGGGGGAGAGACCCUAUAGAUGCUCAGAGUGCGGGAAAAGCUUCACUCGGAGCUCUGACCUUAUUAGACAUGAAACAAUCCACACAGGAGACAGACCCUUUAAAUGCUCAGCAUGUGGGAAAAGUUUCAAUCAGAACUCACACCUUAUUACGCAUCAGAGGAUCCACAAGGGAGAGUAAUCCCAUAAAUAGCUUGGCUAGGGCUGGCCGUAAGUUUUUUUUUUAUAAUACAUUUGCUAUUUCCCACAUAGUGACCUUUAAAGCUGUUUGCACCAUUUGCUUCACUGUGGUCCUUCAGAUCCCCCAGGUGAAUUGCCCGCUUUUGCUGCUCAUCUUUCUUUGGGGUGAAGCCUGUUGUCUGUUCUAUCAAUUCCUUGAUAUCCUCUAAGGCAUGGGAGUGUGUGCCCCUCCUGACAGGAAUGUCUGUCAGUCCCAGAUAGGGAGAUAGGGAUGACCUCAACUAGCUACAUUGAGGUAAAAAUCUACUUGGACUUUGUCUCUACUAGGGUUUUCCGUGGAGGUAGCUAGCUUGAUUUAAAUACUAAACUAUUUUUGCAGUAAAGACAUAGCCCUGCUAAAAUGGUUGGGGUUAGCUAGCGCAUUUCUCCUUAAGCUGACCCAACCUCCAUCACUCUUCCUAGUGCAGACAAUCCCAAGCAUCACAUUUCUAUUUACUCCUGUGGGAACUCUGCGCCAAAAAAAUAAAAAAUUCUGCACACAAUAUUUUAAAAUUCUGAAAACAAAUACUACAUAAUCAUGCCAGUUUCAAUUAUUUUGGUAAUUUAUUUCAAAAUACUUGUCAGCAAAUAUGACUGUAACAAUACAGACACACACAAAAUUUCCCCCAGGAGCAGAGAGUUAAAGAAACCUCUAUGACAACCUAGUCCCUGUUUCUCUGCCCCACCCCACCCCCACCCAGAGCCCAGCCGAGUGGUCAGAGCCCAGCCGUGGCCCCCUCAGGCCAGACACCAGCUCCCCCCCCCCCUUGAGCCCAGCUGUGACACACACCCCUGGCCAGACACCAGCUCUCCUUCCUCCCCCCUGACCAGCUGUGGCCCCCCUAGGCCAGACACCAGCCCCCCUCCCAUGCAGAGCACAGCCGUGGCCCCCUAGGCUGGACACCAGCCCCCUCCCGUGUAGAGCCCAGCCGUGGUCCCCCCAGCCCAGGUACCCAUCCCCGCACCACCCAGAGCCCAGCCGUGGUCCCCCCAGCCCAGGCACCCAUCCCCCCACCACCCAGAGUCCAGCCAUGGUCCUCCCAGCUCAGACACCAGCCCCCUACUGGCCACGGAUCCAGAGGGAGAAACCGCCUGUUGCUGGGUCCCAGGCUCGUGUGGAGUUUCCCGCACACCGCCCGCUCUUUCCCUCGGGGCGUGCGGGGAAUUGCAGCUGCCAGGAACUCUCUACUCUCUCCCCUGGUCCUCCCCACCCCCGCAGUGUCUUGUGUGUGCAAGCAGGGCUUAGCCGAGUCCAGCGGCCCCUGCUGGCGGCCAGCAGCAUCGCAGCCUAUUUCUAGGGGGGAAAGGAAAUUAUGCGUAAAAACCAUUAAUUUCUGCAAAAUUCUGCAUUGCGCAGUGGCACAGAAUUGCCUCAGGAGUAUUCUUGUUCCCCCACUAGCAGGGUGAUUGUCAGAGUACUCCCUCACUGCUACGGCUUUAGAAUUUAUUCUGUCCCUCCACCUCUCAAAGUGUCAUGUGACACACUGUUCUCAGCUCUGUGCUUCGGAAUCACAUACUUGUAAGCACUGGAAAUGAAAGUGUCACAGACCUAGAGGGGAGAUUUGAGUGGAUCCCAAAGCCAGUGUGGUCGGUCUGAUCUUAAAUCCCCGUUUCCAUUGAUUGAAAAAGUGACUUUGGGGCUUUUUCCUGCUGAGCAGAUGGAAAAACUGCUGUUUUCCCCCAUUUCAAUUAUGCUAAAACUGUUGAAAAUAAUGAGGUGGUGUUGAGUGAAGCAGGUUUGAAUGGAUCAUAGGAGAACACAGUGGGAGAAUUUAUCCUCCUGACUUUUGAAUCACUACAUAGAACCUCCUCUGGAAUUCAUAGUGUAUUACACAGUAAUUAUCAUAUUUCUCUGCAUUAUGGAUUUCUCUUUCCUGAAUGCAGUUUGGUCACGUAACUGGAUAUUUUGUUGGACAGAAUGUAGAUCAGAUUUAUUAGGGACUUUGAAACAGAUGACCAUUUUCUAAAAUAGUCUUGUGGUUUUUUUCCCCCAUCCCUCCACGGUGACAGAGAGGAAAUUCUUUCAGUCACCGGGAGAGAAUGCUCCAAUUUAUUGGGCAUGCUACCAAGGAACUAGUCGUAUAUUUUAAAUCUCCAUACUGAAAUGGUGAACAACAGUACACCACAAAUGGUGCAACUAGCUGAAGUAAUUGGAUAUGAUCACACUGUUGUUCAGUUGGUUGGGUCAAUAACGUGUCAGAUGAUCUGGGGAGAGAAUUUCACAGGAAGUGACUUGGAACUAGGCAAAACAUUUGGUUCCCAAAACAGUUGUGGCCCAGGCAGGUCCGGAUUAAAAAAUUUUGGGGGCCCCUCCCCACCUUCCUUAAACUAGAUAGAGCAUGUGAUAUACUAUAUGUAAAUAUGAGAUCCUCUUCAUUUAUGAUGAUGAUUUCAGAGUUAGAGCUUUCUCAGCAGAAAAUACAGAAGCACCACUGAAAGUGAAAUGAUGGUGUCUUAUGCUAACUUAUACAGUAGCAUUGUGAACUUUGAGAAUUAGAACACAAACAGAAUUUGAAUAUAAGAAUAAAAGUUAGCCCCACUGAGUGUAAAAAAGCAUUACGAUGUGCUGUGCUGCAUGUUUCAUGUACUGGAAGAAAACAUGUAUGUUUAAUAUAUUUUAACGUGUUUUGUUUGUUUAGGGUUUUUUGUUAACCACAAUUCUCCACUUUUACCUAGUCGUUUGUUCACUUUGUUACCCUUUUUUAACAAACCUAAUAAUUAUUUUUAUAGAAUGCUUCAGACUAUCACAUGCACCUGGUGUAUUAAACUAAAUUGGUUUGUUCAAUUCUCAAACAA